AUUCGGUUUUAAUUGAGAAGUGUCUGUGGUUAACCGCAACGUUCUAAUUGGGAUCAAUAGGUUAACCAGCAGCACACUUCUCUUCUGGGUGGCCAUCCGUUCGGUAGUUCCGUUCGACAAAAACCGACAUUCCCUUGAAUAAAGCAUACGAAUGGGGAAAUUCAUGUAACCGGCAAAACAGGCGAACACAGCAUUUAUAAUCCAGACAGAUGGGUCUGUCACAGGAACAUCAAACAAUUCCCUUUGGGAUUAUCCCUCUGGAGGUAGCUUAGAAGAAGGGAGUUACCUAUCAAGGAAAAUGGGGAAAUUAACAUCAAAUAUCUUUGGAAUAACUUCAGGUCUAGACUCCUUGGCACGCCAUAUGUACUGGAGUACAGAAUGAGCUGGGUAAACACAGCAGUUACUGCUUAUUCCUGGACAAAAUUGGGUGCUUUAACUCCUUGAUGGUCAAUGUUAUAAUCAAAAAAUGAAAUCCUUAAAGAUGUUGCCAAUUUAGAAUAUUCUGUAUUGAUAGUCUAGGAAACCCUUAAGAAUGUCAAUGGUCCACUGCUGGAUCAGUCAUUUAAUUCCAAUCUGUCAUAUGAUCAAUUAAAACUGUGUUAACAACAACUGUUGUUAUUGGUACCCAAAUGGUUAAGGUGACAGUACGACUUUAUUUUCAAAAAUAAAUUACUUGUGUGGCGAGAGCAACCUCGCCACAUUGCAUUGGAGAAGCCUGGUUGCUCGCCUGUUACCUUUGGAUUAUGGCCCUAUGUUACAAGACCCCUUUUUCUCUGCAGAAAAGACUUAAUUGUGCUUUUCUGCCCGGUGUUUGGUAGAUUCAGUCUACCGAACAACUGCACGAAUGACUGGACCACCUGGGAGCUGGAGUGUGCCGGCAAUUAGCCUCCCAGAAGCUGCGGUUAACCGCAGCUUAAUUGACGAAUACUGGGUGGCCGCAAUUUGUAUCACAAACACAAGGUUGUGGCCAUUUUAAACACGCGAACGCACAGCGGUGUUCGACACCUAACUCAUGGAACUAAAAACGGACACAGUUUGGCGCGAACACCGCUGAAGCUGCCGACCUCCCUUCUUGUUCUGCGGGAGUGCACGAACGGCCCGGUGUUCGGUAAUUUUACCUGACUGUAUUAUACCCCAGAUAGGAAUCCCAUGGAGCUCAUUCGUAUGAGAACUAACUUUGUAAAGACUUUGGCUCCAUGGCGAUUGAACUGUAUUCGUGUGGUCUGAGUGCCAUUCGCUUAAUAAUGUGCGCUCAGACCUGAGCUA
Non-coding RNA from Pelobates cultripes (western spadefoot toad), 1266 nucleotides. NCBI's taxonomy places the organism in Eukaryota, Metazoa, Chordata, Amphibia, Anura, Pelobatidae. The record is from the annotation of a GenBank genome assembly.